This 253-nucleotide ribosomal RNA is filed under the name uncultured bacterium. Its description in RNAcentral is "partial 16S ribosomal RNA". It matches the Rfam family "Bacterial small subunit ribosomal RNA", at positions 524 to 776 of the family's 1533-position model. The record is from RNAcentral.
GACAGAGGGUGCAAACGUUGUUCGGAAUUACUGGGCGUAAAGCGCGUGUAGGCGGCCCUGCAAGUCGGGUGUGAAAUCCCACGGCUCAACCGAGGAACGACGCAUGAAACUGGCAAGCUAGAGUACCAAAGAGGGGGGUGGAAUUCCCGGUGUAGCGGUGAAAUGCGUAGAGAUCCGGAGGAAUACCAGUGGCGCAAGCGGCGCUCUGGGUCGAGCCUGACACUGAGACGCGAAGGCAUGGGGAGCGAACGGG